CUACGGGCGGCAGCAGUGAGGAAUAUUGCACAAUGGGGGGAACCCUGAUGCAGCAACGCCGCGUGGAGGAUGACGCAUUUCGGUGUGUAAACUCCUUUUAUAUGUCAAGAAAAUGACGGUAGCAUAUGAAUAAGCACCGGCUAACUCCGUGCCAGCAGCCGCGGUAAUACGGAGGGUGCAAGAGUUACUCGGAAUCACUGGGCGUAAAGGACGCGUAGGCGGGUUGGAAAGUCAGGCGUGAAAUCCUACAGCUUAACUGUAGAACUGCACUUGAAACUUCUAAUCUAGAGUAUGGGAGGCGGAGAUGGAAUUAGUGGUGUAGGGGUAAAAUCCGUAGAUAUCACUAGGAAUACCUAAAGCGAAGGCGAUCUCCUGGAACAUUACUGACGCUAAGGCGUGAAAGCGUGGGGAGCAAACAGGAUUAGAUACCCCUGUAGUC
This 439-nucleotide ribosomal RNA is filed under the name uncultured bacterium. Its description in RNAcentral is "partial 16S ribosomal RNA". It matches the Rfam family "Bacterial small subunit ribosomal RNA", at positions 339 to 795 of the family's 1533-position model. The record is from RNAcentral.